This 1754-nucleotide long non-coding RNA is filed under the name Homo sapiens (human). Its description in RNAcentral is "long non-coding RNA NONHSAT227978". Lineage: Eukaryota; Metazoa; Chordata; Mammalia; Primates; Hominidae. The record is from RNAcentral.
GGAAAUAUAUUUCUAUAGUCUCCUAAACAGAGAAGGAAACCAAAUGGUUUCACAUUUAAAGUUAUUGGACAUAAUCCUUUUACUUUGUUCAAGUAAAAAUAUUCAGCAAAGCCAGACUGAAAUAAUAACAUGAAUGGGCUUAUUAAGCUUGUGACCAAAUCGUUUGUUUAAUAGUUGGAAGAAUUACAAAUGAAGGCCAUUUCACGUAGUCAGUUUAAAUUAAGGCUGUUGUUUCCAGCUUGGUAAAUAGCUUAUAAACUCUGUGCACAUCUUACCUCAUUUAUUUAUUCUAAUAUCCCUUCAAAGGCUCUGUUCCAUGUGACCAGUUAACUAUACCUCCUAGGAAUUUUGUGUCUGUAAAAAUACAUAGUUGAAGAUUGCACUCUUAACAGGUUUACGACUAUCCUGGAUAGUAUUGUUAACUGUGUGCACAUUGUUGUAGAGCAGAUCUCUAGAACUUUUUCAUCCUGCGUGAAUGAAACUCUACACCCAUUCAACUGCAGCCCCCAUUCUCCCCUCCCCAGUCCCCGGCAACCACCACUCUCCUUUCUGCUUCUGAGUUUCACAUACCUCCUAUAAGUGGGAUUACAUAGUAUUUUUCCUUCUGUAACUGGCUUAUUUCAUUUAACAUACCUCCCUCAUUCAAACCAUAACUUCCUGGAUGAAGGUUUCAGGCAAAAGCACCUGGGAAACCAGGCCUUUGCUACUCAUUUACCCCCCAUUCCCCACCCCACCCCCCGCCCCAGUCCCGUGCCUCCACCUGCUGAGCACCGUUCCAUUUGCCGAUGCUCUCAUGUUACCCUGGGAGACAUAAGGUAGAAGAGCCAUGGGGACUCUGCUCGAGGGUGGUAUAAGGCAUUUGAAACUAAGCCUCUUCAUUAACCCAAUCCAUAUCACAGAGAGGCAGCAUGGGUGCCCCUAGCCCAAUGGCCGGGCUAUUUGCUACUGCAAUAAUAGGUUUCUUAUAAACCGUCAGCCUCCUGAGUAGCUGGCACCACAGGGACACCACAGGCUAUUUUUUAAAAAAAUUUAUGUAGAAAUGGAUUCUCACUGUGUUUCUCAGGCUAGUCUCAAAUUUCUAGGCUCAAGCAGUCCUCCCGCCUCAGCCUCCCAAAGUGCUAGGAUUAUUGGUGUGAGAGGAAUCCCUUUCAACCCUUGAAAAUAAAUCAAGCGGUGAUGAACUCCCUGAGCUUAUAUUUGCCUAGGAAGGUCUUUAUUUCUCUUUCAUUUUUGAAGGACAGUUUGGCUGGACAUAGUAUGUCUUAUUUGGCAGUUUGUCCCCUUCUGCACUGUGAAUAUAUUAUGUCAGUCCCUUCUGGCCAUCUGGCAAGGUUUCUGCUAUGAAAUCCACUGUUUUAUGAAGGAUCUCUUGUUCAUGACAAGUUGCUUUUUGAUUUUAAAAUGACUCAAUGUGGAUGUCUUUGGGUUCAUUCUAGUUGGAGUCCUUUGGAAUUCUCGAAUCUGGAUGUCUAUUUUCUACCCCAGAUUUGGGAAAUUUUGAGCCAUUAUUUUUUUUAAAGAAGCUUUCUGUCCCUUUUUGUAUUUCUUCUUAAAUUCCCAUAGUGUUUAUAUUGGUCCACUUAAUGGUGUCCCAGAAGUUCCUUAGACUUUCAUCAUUUUAAAAUUAUUUUCCCUUUUUGAUCCACUGACUGGAUAAUUUCAAAUAACCUCUGAGUUCAUUCUUUCUUCUGCUUUAUCAAAUCUGCUGUUGAACCCCUCUAAUAAAUUUUUCAAUUUAUUUUAUUCUUCACUGC